Molecule: non-coding RNA, 460 nt
Organism: Paramuricea clavata
Lineage: Eukaryota; Metazoa; Cnidaria; Anthozoa; Malacalcyonacea; Plexauridae
Source: the annotation of a GenBank genome assembly
GUCUAUUUACAAAAGCUCUAUUUAUACUAACAAUUAUAAUCGUCCCAGGCUUACUCAUGCAUAUAUAAUUAAUCAUGACAUCUGCUAUGAGACUGAUUUUAUGUAACUCCUCCAAUGUCUCAACAAGCAUUCACGUUGCUCCAAUGACGUGAAAAUCUUAGUUUAACGUUGCAUUCAGAAUGACAACUUUAAGGUACCCCUGAGACCACCAUGCAAUUAUUCAAACUUUUUGUUUUGCAUGAAAAGUUUCUUUGUUUCGUUUUUCAGUUCGCGUCAUGUUUUCUAAAUCAGUCUAGUAUACGUCAUAUGAUAACAACAACAACAACUGCAAGCAAUAUUUGUCAUUUUUAAAACAACGUUAAAUCUAAAAUGCAAGUGCAUGUACAAGAAUAGUUAUCACAAGUUUCUCAAAGUAAGGAUUGCAUAAUUGCAUUCAGAAAAAUUACUUAAAGAAUGUUUU